UCUGAGGAACAUGUUUUGUUUUUUGUUAUAUUUAACAGAAUAGGAAAUGUUUUAUUUAUUGGAAAUAAUGUUUGUGGUUGUAAUUGGGCAGCGGCCAGACAACAGUAGGGAUGGUAUCCACAGAUGGUGGGUUUUUUCACUCUCACUCGUCUACUGAUUCCAUCCCAUAUAU
Molecule: non-coding RNA, 172 nt
Organism: Lupinus angustifolius (narrow-leaved blue lupine)
Lineage: Eukaryota; Viridiplantae; Streptophyta; Magnoliopsida; Fabales; Fabaceae
Source: Rfam